UUUGAAAGAUUGGGAAGAUGCUGAACGCCGAGUGCAACAAGAUUGGCAAAAUGCUUUAAUUAAACAAAUUGAGAGUUUGAAUGUUGAUCAAGAUGAAGUGGAUCCAGAUUAUGCAGAGUACUGAACAUUGAAGCCACUUCCAAAGACUAGAGAUUUUUUUUUCUUGUAACUUUUUGAAACAAUUUUUAUUAGUGAGAAGGUUGUAAAUUUGCAAAUGAU
RNAcentral lists this long non-coding RNA (219 nucleotides) under Citrus maxima (pomelo). RNAcentral describes it as "long non-coding RNA (CMAX_LNC002921)". Lineage: Eukaryota; Viridiplantae; Streptophyta; Magnoliopsida; Sapindales; Rutaceae. The record is from RNAcentral.